This 616-nucleotide ribosomal RNA is filed under the name uncultured bacterium. RNAcentral describes it as "bacterial SSU rRNA". It matches the Rfam family "Bacterial small subunit ribosomal RNA", at positions 338 to 956 of the family's 1533-position model. The record is from RNAcentral.
CCUACGGGAGGCAGCAGUAAGGAAUAUUGGUCAAUGGACGAAAGUCUGAACCAGCCAUGCCGCGUGAAGGAUGACGGCCCUCUGGGUUGUAAACUUCUUUUAUAUGGGACGAAAAAAGGGAAUUCUUUCUCACUUGACGGUACCAUAGGAAUAAGCACCGGCUAACUCCGUGCCAGCAGCCGCGGUAAUACGGAGGGUGCAAGCGUUAUCCGGAUUCACUGGGUUUAAAGGGUGCGUAGGUGGGUAGGUAAGUCAGUGGUGAAAUCUCCGAGCUUAACUCGGAAACUGCCAUUGAUACUAUUUAUCUUGAAUUUUUUGGAGGUGAGCGGAAUAUGUCAUGUAGCGGUGAAAUGCUUAGAUAUGACAUAGAACACCAAUUGCGAAGGCAGCUCACUACGAAAUUAUUGACACUGAGGCACGAAAGCGUGGGGAUCAAACAGGAUUAGAUACCCUGGUAGUCCACGCCCUAAACGAUGGAUACUCGACAUCAGCGAUACACUGUUGGUGUCUGAGCGAAAGCAUUAAGUAUCCCACCUGGGAAGUACGACCGCAAGGUUGAAACUCAAAAGUAUAGUAGGACGUGNGAGAGACGACGACGACGACGAGGAGGAGGAGG